Molecule: ribosomal RNA, 468 nt
Filed under: Triticum aestivum (bread wheat)
Lineage: Eukaryota; Viridiplantae; Streptophyta; Magnoliopsida; Poales; Poaceae
Description: partial small subunit ribosomal RNA
Source: RNAcentral
AUGGCGAGCGGCGGCAGUCUGAUGACGAAGAAGGAGCUCGGCGAGACCCACGACGUCCUCCGCUUUGGCGCCAACGACAGCGUCCGCGGCGACCUCGCGCCGGCGCACCCCGUCCAGGCCACCAUCCACAAGGAGGCCAAGUUCUGGGACGAGAAGAAGAAGUUUGGGACCGAGGCCAUCUACGGAUCGGCCUUCAACAUCCGCAGGGAUCUCGACGCCCAGAUCCUCUCCAGAGCCAUGAAGUUUACAGGCACUACUCCCAGCAGGGUUAAGAAAAUCCAUUUUCAAUGGAGUCAAUAUUCUUUAGAAUUUCAUUUUGAUGACUGUCAGGGUCAGGCGCACCAAAGGAUGGACUGUGGUUCCAUGUCCAAAGGGACAAUACUGGACCGGCAGAUGAGCGGGCUCUUGCUGAUGCAACUCCUUCUGCUGCUCAUCAACCUGUCGUUUCAUUCUCUCCUCCUCGGCUAG